Molecule: ribosomal RNA, 473 nt
Filed under: uncultured bacterium
Lineage: Bacteria
Description: bacterial SSU rRNA
Rfam family: Bacterial small subunit ribosomal RNA
Source: RNAcentral
ACGAACGCUGGCGGCGCGCCUAACACAUGCAAGUCGAACGGACGAAGGGAGCUUGCUCCCCGAGUUAGUGGCGGACGGGUGAGUAACACGUGAGCAACCUGCCUUUCAGAGGGGGACAACAGUUGGAAACGACUGCUAAUACCGCAUAACGUGUAUUUGAGGCAUCUCAGAUAUACCAAAGAUUUAUCGCUGAAAGAUGGGCUCGCGUCUGAUUAGAUAGUUGGUGAGGUAACGGCCCACCAAGUCGACGAUCAGUAGCCGGACUGAGAGGUUGAACGGCCACAUUGGGACUGAGACACGGCCCAGACUCCUACGGGAGGCAGCAGUGGGGGAUAUUGGACAAAUGGGGGGAACCCUGAUCCAGCGACGCCGCGUGAGGGAAGAAGGUUUUCGGAUUGUAAACCUCUGUUGACAGGGAAGAAAAUGACGGUACCUGUUUAGAAAGCCACGGCUAACUACGUGCCAGCCGCGGC